This 69-nucleotide transfer RNA is filed under the name Marmota monax (woodchuck). RNAcentral's name for it is "tRNA.Ala". The record is from RNAcentral. Lineage: Eukaryota; Metazoa; Chordata; Mammalia; Rodentia; Sciuridae.
GGGUCGUGGCUCAGUGGUAGAGCGCUUGUCUAGCAUGCAUGAGGCACUGGGUUCAAUCCUCAAUACACA